GAGUUUGAUCCUUGCUUAUAACGAACACUAGCUCAAUGCUUACCCAUGUAAGUCAAACGUUAUUUCCAGGGAGUUGGGCAGAAGGAUAAGAGGCUCCAAGCUAACUAAAGGUAGCUUGUCUCCCCCUAAUAGUGGUGGCCAGUGUAGUCAAUGAGCAAAGCCAGUGGUAGCAACACAUGAACAAAGCUCUCUAAACUAUUGGAAGCCUUUGCUACACAAGCCAGUGGUAGCAACUUCCAAUUGUUUAGGGCGCGCUUUAUUUGCAACAGAAAAGCAAUCACUUUUGAGGGAUUUGCAACUUUUAAUUGUUGAUGAUUUUUUUUAUUUGCAGCUUAAGAAAAACAUUUGCCGAAGAGUGCUUUGACGUUGUAAAGCCCUCUUCAACACAUAGACAUUACCUUCAGGAGGUGGGAACAGUUGAGAACAAAGCGGUGAACAUGUGCAUAACAUGUGGGAGUCUGCCGAACACUUCGAGCCAAAUCUUGAAGAAAGCUAGAAGUGUUGUUUGAUGAACUUCCAUAGUAGUAGGUAGUUGGUAAGGUAAAGGCUGACCAUGCCAAUGAUGCUUAGCAGCAGGGAAUCUUGGACAACGGGUGAAGCCUGAUCCAACAAUAUCGCUUGAGUGAGGAAGGGCAAUGAUGCUUGUAAAGCCCUUUUAUCGAGCGAGCAUUCAUGAUAGUAUUUGAGGAAGGAGACCCAGCUAACUCCGUGCCGGCAGCCACAGUGAGAUCUGGUCCCUGAGGGGGGGGGAGGGGGAAGCGAUGUGUAAUUUAUUUUUCAGAAUGAUUGGGCGUAAAGGGCACUUAGGCGGUGAAUUGGGUUGCAAGUGAAAGUCGCUAAAAAGUGGUGGAAUGCUCUCGAAACCAAUGAACUUGAUUGAUAUAUAGGAGAGUGGAAUUUCGUGUGUUGGGGUGAAAUCACCCUAAAAAGAGUCUUUAUGUAGGUGGCUAGGUGCAAAGCAGUUGGUUGAGUGUGGAGCAUAUAGGUAACAUGACGAGACAAAUAUUUUGCU
RNAcentral lists this non-coding RNA (1012 nucleotides) under Amborella trichopoda. RNAcentral's name for it is "Bacterial small subunit ribosomal RNA". The stretch from base 317 to 1012 matches the Rfam family "Bacterial small subunit ribosomal RNA", at positions 1 to 799 of the family's 1533-position model. The record is from Rfam by way of RNAcentral. Lineage: Eukaryota; Viridiplantae; Streptophyta; Magnoliopsida; Amborellales; Amborellaceae.